RNAcentral lists this ribosomal RNA (222 nucleotides) under uncultured bacterium. RNAcentral describes it as "partial 16S ribosomal RNA". It matches the Rfam family "Bacterial small subunit ribosomal RNA", at positions 29 to 245 of the family's 1533-position model. The record is from RNAcentral.
AACGAACGCUGGCGGCGUGGAUAAGACAUGCAAGUCGAGCGAAGUAUGAGGGGUAGCAAUAUUCCUUAUACUUAGCGGCGAAAGGGUGCGUAACACGUAGAUCAUCUGCCUCCAAGUGUGGGAUAGCCCGGCGAAAGCCGGAUUAAUACCGCAUGUGGUCGUGAGAUUAAAGCCGGGGACCGUAAGGCCUGGCGCUUGGAGAUGAGUCUGCGGCCUAUCAGC